UACCAGACUCCUACGGGAGGCAGCAGUGGGGGAUAUUGCACAAUGGGGGGAACCCUGAUGCAGCGACGCCGCGUGAACGAAGAAAUAUUUCGGUAUGUAAAGUUCUAUCAGCAGGGAAGAAAAUGACAGUACCUGACCAAGAAGCCCCGGCUAACUACGUGCCAGCAGCUGCGGUAAUACGUAGGGGGCGAGCGUUAUCCGGAUUCACUGGGCGUAAAGGGAGCGUAGACGGCCAUGCAAGCCAGGGGUGAAAGCCCGGGGCCCAACCCCGGGACUGCCCUUGGAACUGCAUGGCUGGAGUGCGGGAGGGGCAGGCGGAAUUCCUGGUGUAGCGGUGAAAUGCGUAGAUAUACGGAGGAACACCAGUGGCGAAGGCGGAUUGCUGGACAGUAACUGACGCUGAGGCGCGAAAGCGUGGGGAGCAAACAGGAUUAGAUACCCCUGUA
Molecule: ribosomal RNA, 446 nt
Filed under: uncultured bacterium
Lineage: Bacteria
Description: bacterial SSU rRNA
Rfam family: Bacterial small subunit ribosomal RNA
Source: RNAcentral